This 611-nucleotide ribosomal RNA is filed under the name Pleurotus pulmonarius. Its description in RNAcentral is "eukaryotic LSU rRNA". The stretch from base 219 to 372 matches the Rfam family "5.8S ribosomal RNA". The record is from RNAcentral. Lineage: Eukaryota; Fungi; Basidiomycota; Agaricomycetes; Agaricales; Pleurotaceae.
AGUUGUUGCUGGCCUCUAGGGGCAUGUGCACGCUUCACUAGUCUUUCAACCACCUGUGAACUUUUGAUAGAUCUGUGAAGUCGUCCUUCAAGUCGUCAGACUUGGUUUGCUGGGAUUUAAACGUCUCGGUGUGACAACGCAGUCUAUUUACUUAACACACCCCAAAUGUAUGUCUACGAAUGUCAUUUAAUGGGCCUUGUGCCUAUAAACCAUAAUACAACUUUCAACAACGGAUCUCUUGGCUCUCGCAUCGAUGAAGAACGCAGCGAAAUGCGAUAAGUAAUGUGAAUUGCAGAAUUCAGUGAAUCAUCGAAUCUUUGAACGCACCUUGCGCCCCUUGGUAUUCCGAGGGGCAUGCCUGUUUGAGUGUCAUUAAAUUCUCAAACUCACAUUUAUUUGUGAUGUUUGGAUUGUUGGGGGUUGCUGGCUGUAACAAGUCGGCUCCUCUUAAAUGCAUUAGCAGGACUUCUCAUUGCCUCUGCGCAUGAUGUGAUAAUUAUCACUCAUCAAUAGCACGCAUGAAUAGAGUCCAGCUCUCUAAUCGUCCGCAAGGACAAUUUGACAAUUUGACCUCAAAUCAGGUAGGACUACCCGCUGAACUUAAGCAUAUC